RNAcentral lists this ribosomal RNA (293 nucleotides) under uncultured bacterium. RNAcentral's name for it is "partial 16S ribosomal RNA". It matches the Rfam family "Bacterial small subunit ribosomal RNA", at positions 775 to 1067 of the family's 1533-position model. The record is from RNAcentral.
GGAUUAGAUACCCUGGUAGUCCAUGCCGUAAACGAUGUGUGUUAGACGUUGGAAAUUUAUUUUCAGUGUCGCAGCGAAAGCAAUAAACACACCGCCUGGGGAGUACGACCGCAAGGUUAAAACUCAAAUGAAUUGACGGGGACCCGCACAAGCAGUGGAGCAUGUGGUUUAAUUCGAAGAUACGCGCAGAACCUUACCAACACUUGACAUGUUCGUCGCGAAACCGAGAGAUUGGUUUCUUCAUUUAGUUGGACGAAACACAGGUGCUGCAUGGCGGUCGUCAGCUCGUGUCG